Zingiber officinale is the source of this 1732-nucleotide RNA transcript. It is a transcript of the gene named probable inactive shikimate kinase like 2, chloroplastic, with no coding region annotated. Lineage: Eukaryota; Viridiplantae; Streptophyta; Magnoliopsida; Zingiberales; Zingiberaceae. The record is from RefSeq and is a predicted model, not a curated record. The transcript is spliced from 8 exons.
UAUUUUAAUGACAUCCAUCCUCCGCUGCCUUCUUAUCUCUUCCUCGACCCGUCGCCGAUGGCCGCGGCGCAUUUUUCUCUUCUCUCCGUCUGUUCGCAUACCCUCCCCGAAGCCCUAGGAAUCCCACGGCGGCAUGCUACUUCCCUUAUUUCCGAUCGCCGCCCCUUCGGUCUGGAUCCCACCAGGCUGCUCUCGUCAUCGCCUAUCCUCCCCAAAAGAAACGAGGUCUUGGGGCGGCUCCGGUCGGUUUCUGGCGGACCUAUCUCUGAGGCUCUAGUUGAAUCGAGAAGCUAUGAGUUUUAUGAUACUACUGCGGAGGUAGAACUGAAACUCGAUAUUGGAAAAUUGGAUGUCACAAAGUCCAGUGAUAUUUUUGUGGAUGUUGAUGAAUCAUCACUAUUAGUUAGAGUAAAAGCUUCUGGGACUCUCAUAACUCUUAUGGAGACAAACUGUUUGUUUGAGAGGAUAAAGCCUUCUGAGACUAUAUGGUAUAUAGAUGAGGACCAAUUAGUUAUUAGUCUAAAAAAAUAUGAUACUGAAUUGAAAUGGCCUGAUUUGGCGGAAUCAUGGGAAUCUCUGACAAAAGGAAUACUGCAAUUGCUCAAAGGAACUUCAAUCUUCAUUGUUGGAGAUUCUACAGAGAUAAAUGAAACAGUUGCCGAUGUACUUGCAAGUGGCAUUGGAUACAUUCCUCUUUAUACAAGUGAUUUGCUGGAGAGAUAUGCUCAACAACCCAUUCAGUCAUGGGUUAUUUCAGAAGGAGCAGAUUCCGUUGCUCAAGCUGAAGGUGCUGUAAUUGAAAGUCUUAGUAGUCAUGCUCGAUCUGUUGUUGCAACACUAGGAGGGCAACAUGGAGCUGCUAGAAGACAUGAUAAAUGGAGGCAUCUUCACGCAGGAUUCACUGUAUGGUUGUCAAUAUCUGAAGCACAAGAUAUGAUUUUGUCAAUGCAGAUGAAGCGUCUGCUAAGGAGGAGACCAGAAGGCACAUACAAGAUGGAAGUUUGGCUUACUCAAAUGCUGAUGUAGUCAUGAAGCUUGGUGGAUGGGACUCAGAUCGAGCUCGAGUUGUUGCACAGGCUUGUUUAAGUGCUCUAAAACAACUUACCUUGUCAGACAAACAACUUACAGGCAAAAAAUCUCUCUAUGUCAGAUUAGGUUGUCGCGGCGAUUGGCCUGACAUUGCGCCUCCUGGUUGGGAUCCAUCGAGUGCAGUAAACCCCGACUCCUAAAGAAGUAUCGAUAGCAUUUUUCCACUAUCAUACUAAAAGAGGUUAAUGAAGGUCAAUUGGGUAGGGAAGGUACAUUGUUGUUCUUCAAAAUUUACUCGAUGUUUGAUAUCUGUCUAUCCAUAUGAAAUCAAGUUCAUUGCACUUAUCGUAGCCUUUUCAUAACUUGCUUGAUCGAUGUAACUCUGUGUCUCUUUUGCAAGUAGCACAACUCUCAAGUAUCUUAGAUCAUUCGAAUAGUAUUCCUGUCAAGCUUCAUCAGUCGAAAAGAGCAAAGUAUGCCGCCUUUCGACAUCAUGAAUGAAAGAAUUUAGCUUUUGUUUUGGAAGAAGCUGCGUGAGAACCUUCGGAGUUGCAAGUGGGUUUUCAUGUCGAUCCACAUUCUACUCUGUUUCUUAAACUUGUUUCAUUAUAAUAAUUUUCUAAUUAUUCAUGUUGAUUUUUCUUGUAUACAUUAACUUUUUAUUAUGCUUUGAAGAUUAAUUUUAUGCAUAAAACACACGUAA